GGAUUUUUAGUAUCUGCCUAAUACUUGUGCCUUCAUCGCAUUAAUGUGCUACGCUUGAUUUAAUUGUUCCCUUUUGAUAUUCAGUUUAUUUCCAGUUUGAUGCUGCAAUACCACUGUGCUGAACGUCUCUGGCACAUUCAUCUUGGUUGCAAUUGUACUUUAGGCUAUAUUUCUAAGAGUGAAAUGACCACAGCCAAAGGUAUGAACAUUGUUCAGGCUUUCAAUAAAGACUGCCAGAUAUUUACAAAGAUUGUGCCAAUCUCUAUUCUCACCACCGCUUUUGAUUAUUGUCCUUAUCUCUGCUUGCCACUGAGCCCCGGGCCAUGUCUCUGUAACUCACUAACGGCCACAUCCCAUUUACUUCCCCAUGAGUAGGAUUUCAGUUUCCCAAACCUGAGGUGAUCUGUCAGCUGGAGAACUGGGACGAGCAAUGGAUCCUGGAUCUACCGAGAGCUGGGAAUAGGAAGGCUUCCGGUAGUGCUUGCCCAGGUUCUGAAGCCAGACACAAGAUGAAAAAGUUAACUCCAAAACAGAAAUUUUCUGAAGAUUUAGACUCAUAUAAGAUAUCAGUGGUAAUGCAGGAAUCAGCUGAGAAACUUUCAAAAACGUUACAUAAGUGUAAAGAAUUUGUGGACAGUUGCAGGCUUACUUUCCCUACUAGUGGUGAUGAAUACAGCAGAGGCUUCCUUCAAAACCUUAACCUUAUUCAAGACCAGAACGCACAAACAAGGUGGAAGCAGGGCAGAUAUGAUGAGGAUGGCAAACCCUUCAAUCAAAGAUCUUUGCUUUUGGGGCACGAGCAAAUUCUCACAAGAGCAAAGUCUUAUGAAUGCAGUGAAUGUGGAAAAGUCAUUAGGCGUAAGGCAUGGUUUGAUCAACAUCAAAGAAUUCACUUUUUAGAGAAUCCUUUUGAGUGUAAGGUCUGUGGGCAAGCCUUCAGACAGCGAUCAGCUCUUACGGUCCAUAAACAGUGUCACCUGCAAAACAAGCCAUACAGAUGUCAUGACUGUGGAAAGUG
RNAcentral lists this small RNA (1018 nucleotides) under Pongo abelii (Sumatran orangutan). RNAcentral describes it as "retained intron". Lineage: Eukaryota; Metazoa; Chordata; Mammalia; Primates; Hominidae. The record is from RNAcentral.